UUUUUUUUUUCUCGCAUUCAAUGUAUACAGUUUUAUUAAGGAUGGGCACGUAUAUUUAUUUGUUUAUAUAUUUAUUUGCUAAUAUUAUAUACAUUUUAUAAAGAAAAAACGUUUGGAGCCAAAAAAAAAAAAAAAAAAAAAAAAAAAAAAAAAAAAAAAAAAAAAAAAUUAUCAUUUGUGCUAUGUUCUAAUAAAAGUAUGUUUGAUUUUUGAUUUUUGAUUUUUUUAAAGAACUUAAAAAUGAAAAGAAAAAGUUUAAAAUAUACACUGCAAAAAGUAUAUAUUAAAAAAAGCAAAGAAGAAUGAACAGAAAGGUAUAACUAUUUUAAAAAUAGAGUUUUUUUUUUUUUUUUUUUUUUUUUUUUUUACUGAUGGCAUAACAAUACAUUUAUGUAAAUGUAAUUAAAACAUUGUUAUUAUUUUUGAUAAAGGACAUGAUUAAAACUUAUAAAAUUGUUAAAAAAAUUAGGGAGAUAAAUUACUAAGAAAAUUAAUAAUAAAAAUAGUAACUAAAUGAAACAAUUAACGAGAAAAUUGGCGAUAUAUAUUUUUUUUCAUUUUAUGUAAUCAUCAUUUUAAUACAAUUAUUAUAAAUAGUAUAGUGAAAAUGUCAAAUAAUAUGAAUAAUAAUAAAAAUAAUAACUAUAAUAAUAAUAAUAAUAAUAAUGACAAGUACAAUAACAUAAGAAAUAAUUCCAAUAACAUUACAAAUAAUAGUAUGAAUAUACCAAAUAAUGUGGGCAUUGUAUUAAAUAAGGUGAGCGGUAUACCAAAUAAUAUGAGCGGUAUACCUAAUAAUAUGAGCGGCAUACCUAAUAAUAUGAGCAGUAUACCAAAUAAUAUGAGUGGUAUACCAAAUAAUAUGAGUGGUAUACCAAAUAAUAUGAGUGGUAUACCAAAUAAUAUGAGCGGUAUACCUAAUAACAUGAGCGGUAUACCAAAUAAUAUGAGCGGUAUACCAAAUAAUAUGAGCGGCAUACCAAAUAAUAUGAGCGGUAUACCAAAUAAUAUGAGCGGUAUACCAAAUAAUAUGAGCGGUAUACCAAAUAAUAUGAGCGGUAUAUCACGCAAUAUGAAUUGUAUACCACACAAUAUAAGCGGUGUACCAAGCAAUGUAAACAGUUUAAAUAACAAUAUUAACAAUAAGAUGCAUAAUAAAAUUGGUAACAUCCAUGAACAUAUAAAUAAUAUGCAAACUAAUAUAAAUACUAUGCCAAAUAAUAUGAAAUAUAACAUAGCGAACAAUAUAAAUAAUAUGACGACUAAUGUAAACUAUCCCCUAAAUAAUAGUUACUCAAACAUAAAUAUAAGUAAAAAUAUGAAUAUGAUGAAUGAAGUAAAUUUUAGGAGUAAUCUUAAAAUGAACAGCCCUGACACAGGUAAUAAUAUAAAAUUUGAUAACCUUAUUAGUAGAAAGCAUAAUAAUAAUGUAAGAGAAAAUAUAAUGAAUAAUUUAAAUUACAAUUAUAACAAUAUAAAUUUUAAUAUUAUGAAAAGUAGUAAUAUAGAUAUGAAUACUAAAGUAAAUAAUGAAAAUAUGGAAAAACUAGCAGAUAACGCAGAACAUAUUUUGAAAAAAAUAAAUAACAGCAAUAAUAUGAUCAUUAAAAACAAUAUGAAAAAUAAUACUGCUGCUAUUGCUACAAAUAGUAGUAUUAAUAAUAAUAAUAACAAUAACAAGUAUUAUAUAAAUCCUGAUAAUCCUAAUAGAAAUAUAUUUUAUAUGAACGACAUGGAAAAUGUUGAAAGUAAUAUGAUUCCUACAAAUAAUAAAAUAAAUAAUAUUAAGGAUAAUCAAAAUAAUAUGCUUUUUUUUAUGAAUAAAGAAUAUUUAGAAAAUACAUAUAAAAAAGAGAAGUACUUAUUAAAUAAAGAUGAAAAUGAAAACAUGUAUAUGACAUCAAAUCAGUUUAGUAAUAUUAAUCAGGAAAAUAUGAUAACCUUAGUCAAUAACAUUAAAAGCCAUGGGAUUAAAAUAAGUGGAAUGGACAAAGGACCCGAUAACACAUGUGUUAAUUAUAGUAGUAGUAGUAUUAAUAAUAGUUGUAAUGAUAAUAGUAUUAAUAACAACAAUAGUAUUAAUAACAACAAUAGUAUUAAUAACAAUAAUAGUAUUAAUAACAAUAAUAAUAUUAAUAAUAGUAGCAAUAUCAAUAAUAGUAGCAAUAUCAAUAGUAGUAGCAAUAAUACUACUACUACUAGUAGUAAUAAUAAUAAUAGUAAUAAUAAUAAUAAUAAUAGUAAUAAUAGUGGUAGUAAUAAUAAUAGUGAUGAUGAUAAUAGUAAUAAUAAUAAUAAUAAUAAUAAUAUUAAUAGUAAUAGUGACAGUGAUAGUGAUAAUAAUAAUAAUAAUGAUGGAAAUAAUAAUGUUACUACUAUAAAUAUGAAUAAUAACAUGUUACAUAAUGAACUAAAUAGAAAUAAUACUAUGUAUAACGUAGCUAAUAAUAACAUGUUCGUUUUUAAUAAUCAUUCGAUUUUAGAAAAUAAAACUAAUGUUAUUGAUAAUAUGAUAAAAAAUAAUGAUACUACAACAAAUUCCAAUAGUAAUAUUUGUAAUGUUCCUAUUACUUAUAUUAAUAUAAAUAAAAAUAUGAUUGACACUGUAAAUAAUGUUACUUAUAAUAAUAUUAAUGAAAGGAAUAAUGAAAAUGAUGCGACUAGUUUGUCAAAUAAAACAGAGGAAGUAGAUGUACUAACUGGGGUAAAUAUCCUAAAAAAAAAAGUACAACAUAUAGAACAAAAAGAAGAAAAAAAAAAAGAGGAAGACGAAGGAAUGUUAGAAGCAAGCAAAACAGGAGAAAAAGAAAGGGAAAAUGAAAAUGAAAAAGAAGAUGAAGGAAAAUUAGAAAUAGACGAAAAUGGAGGAGAAAAAGCAGAAAACGAAGGAAAAAGAGAAGAAAAAAUAAAUGAAGAAGAAAAUGAUAAAAAAGAAGUAUUAACAAAUGAUAUAAAUGGGCUAAAAUUUAACAAAGAUGAUGGGAUAGAAAAACAAAAUUGGGAUGUUAAUAAUUUUAUUUUUAAUUUAAAUAAAAAUAAUGAACAACAGACUGAUCAUAAUGAAAUAACUUUAAAUGGUAUAGAACAUACACAGACACAAACUCAAAUGCAAACAAAAACUAGUGAGGAUGAUAAUAACAAAAUAAAUCAAAAUUUUAAUUUAAGCAUGAAGAAUAAUAUGAAAAAAAAAAGUUAUAGUAAUAAUAAAAAAACUGUAUUUAAAAAUUACGAUUCUACUAAUCAUUUAACGAACUUUUUAUUAAAUGGUGGUGAUGAUAAUAAUGACAAUAGUAAUAAUAUGAACGAAAAUAGACUUUUUAGUGAAGGCGAAACAAAAUUUACAAAGAAAAAAAAAAAUUCUAGUUACACACAUAAAGAUAUACCUGCUUACUCACCCAGAAUAAUGGAAAGUAAUAAAAAAAUAAUAGCCUUAACAAAAUUGUUUGGAGACGUCAUCGACGAAAAUGACAAUAAUACUGAGCAUAAGAUUGGUGGACAUAUUAGUGACAAUAAACAUAAAGAAAAUGACAAUGUUUUUGAUAUAUUUUCUGGCUCAAGAAAUAUAAAUAAUAUAACCGAUUUAGAAACAUAUAAAAAUAUGUCGCUUGAUACUAUGCUAAAUAAUUUAAAUUUGGAUAAA
Molecule: long non-coding RNA, 3640 nt
Filed under: Piliocolobus tephrosceles (Ugandan red Colobus)
Lineage: Eukaryota; Metazoa; Chordata; Mammalia; Primates; Cercopithecidae
Description: lncRNA (ENSPTEG00000006555.1)
Source: RNAcentral